Molecule: long non-coding RNA, 6713 nt
Filed under: Sus scrofa (pig)
Lineage: Eukaryota; Metazoa; Chordata; Mammalia; Artiodactyla; Suidae
Description: lncRNA (ENSSSCG00060004880.1)
Source: RNAcentral
AGUCACAAGCCGCUCCGGCGAGUGGACGGUGCCUGGGCGGCCGCCCCGCGGGCAAAGGUCUCGGGACCCGGUCUGUCAGACCUCGGACGUGGAAACUGGCAUCUCCCCUGGCUCGGAGUCCGCCCUCUCGGGGCGCCAGCGCAGGUGACCUGGGGCGCGCAGCCCUUGGGAUGCGAGUUGAUCGAUGUGCCUGAGGUGGCCUCUCUGAUUCCACAGCUGUCCCCGUGAGCAGGCGGCUCCAUGCUUCAAAGGCCCUGGAUUCCUGGGACAUGAUGCCACCUUUCCUGAAGUCUGGGCUCCUUACCUUCUCUCUGCUCCGGGCAUACCAUUCCCAAAGGACAGUGGUACUGCAGGGAGCAUCUGCUGGGCCCCCUCCAUGUGUUCUGGACAGGCUGGGGUCCUGGGAAGGGUGCACCACCCAAGUGCGGGGGUGGCAUUCAAGCUCAACACAGAACCUGUGAGAAUGGGCCUGACUGUGCUGGCUGCAGUGUGUUGGUUGAAACCGAGGAUGCAGAACAUGUGGACAUGGAGGCCUGUCUAAUUAUCAUCAGUCAGCCACCAUAGGCAACGGGCACGAGUCACACGACACAACAGAAAACAGUUUAAGAAAAUGCUACCCCAGAGCAGGUUUCUCUUGUCCUUGGAAACAGCCUGGCAUGAAGAGCAGUCUUUGCUUCCUCCACUUAAUUUGCCUCAGCCGAGCCUGCAGUCAGCAUCUCUCACCGGGCCCACCUCAGCUCCAGGGGCCAUUCGAGGGACCAGCUGGAGUUUUCUGGUGUUUCCUGGAUUUAUCACUAAAAGACCUGCAUCCUGGGAAAGCACUUUCUCAGUCCCCUGAAGAGUAGAGAUGGACAUUCACCCAAAGGAAGGCUUGUUUCUCAGAGGAAGACCAAAACCUUAUUACCAGACCAAGGCAGGAUGAAAAGUGGGCUGGACAAAAACAAUUAAGCCUCAUGGCGUAGCCCUCUUAGGAGCAGAUGGUGGUGUGUCAUCUUCUAAACUCUACUGUCACUUGGGGGAACUGGCAGAGGAGGAGCCUGGUGUGUGGACCUGGUUUGCCACUUUGUCUAGGAGGCCCCAGAGCCCUGUGUGUUACGGGGGCUGUUAAUUACUCAGGGAGGUUAUCACACGGUCCCUUCUCUGCAUUGGACAGAAAUACAUCUCCCUGUGAUGACAGAGACACAGCGGUUCUUUUUACUCUGCUCUUUCCUUGGGUCCUCCACUCCGAGUGUCCCUGAUUCCUGCGCAGUGUCCUUCCAAAGCCUGGGUUUGGAGGACAGGACCUAUGUGUCCCAUAUCAGCUGCCGUCUGUUGCUAACAAACUGAGGUUACACCAGCUCUAACUGAGCAUUCAUUUAUUUAAUAACAGGCACAGAAAAGCCUCUGGAGUUGCCAGCAUGGUAGAAACCUAGACCAGGCCUCUGAGGGCGUGUAAACAAGUACCCAGGUCGUGAGACCAAUUUCUGCUGAAAUCAGUUAAUUUUGCUGGGUUCCUUGGCUGCGGCCUCACCUCCCACCUCCUGCAAACCUCGCUCCAGUGAGUGUCCAGGCGUCCAGAGGAAGGAGUUUCCAUGGGUCACUGAAAAUCUGCCACCACUCCUGCGAACUCGGUAGACCACUGUCGUUCUCCUUCGUUCAGUCGGUGAACGUGGCGUGUUCCAUACAUAUGUUGCAUCAUUAAAUGUCAUUUCUGAGCGAGGAUUAAAAUUACCAAGUGACUUAGACUUAAUGAUAUAUUAACUGCACAGCUCAUCAGAAUCCUUUCGUACUGCGAUCUCCCAUUUUAUCAAAAAAUUCAUGCUUGAUCAUGCACCAGAGUAGUCAAAAGGUGGGCUUCUGGAAACUUGCAUCGGCUAAAGCCAGAUAUGAUUUCUGUCCCAUGAAACUUGUGUUAAUGAUGUCAUCAGAGGGAAAAAGAAGCCUCACUCGAAAAUUAACUUACACUUCUACUCUGAGGAGGUGGUUUGGGAACAGAGGAGCUAGGACCUUCUUUUUGAGGCUUAAGGGAAUUUACUCACGUUUGCUUAAGUAUGGCACGGUUUUUGUUUAUUUGUUUGGUUAGCUGGUUUGGUUUCCAGGUUUGGUUUUGGUUAGCCUAACCCCGUUGCUUCAAAAUUACUGAAAAAAAAACUGAUCUUUAUAGUUUAUGAUAACAUUAUACUCUGAAUCCUAAAGCCUUCCCCAUCUCAUUUCAGAGAUGUUCCAACCGAAAUUACUCUUUCAUUUCAUGAAUCAACAAAAUAAGUCCAAUAUUACGAUGAUCACCAAUCAAAACACACCUUGGGGAUAUCCUCUUGCAUCUGGAAUUGGCACAAUGCUGAUUGGUUGUAUAACUGUCCCCACCUCGUCUUGGGAAAUUCGAUGAUAUUUUACCUCUGCCACUCCUAAGAAACCAAGACAGGCGUGCCAGGCUUCUCUCUACCUGAAUGCACAGAUAGAAAGAGGGUUUGGUGAAGAGCUGGAACGUGGAUGACAUAUGCUAUGUUUUCUUUGCACGUCCAUGGAUAAAAGUUAUGACGUAAAGGUACACCCUCAACAAUUGGCCAGUACAUUUCCUGUGGGCCAUGUAGGUGUUUGGUACAUUACUGGAUGCAAAGGUGGUAUGACAAAAAGUACGAGACACACUGCUUAAGAGCUGUCAUCACUCGGCGGUCUGUGGAUCACCCACCCAGCUCUGGGUUGUUUCUGGAGGUGCAGAAGAUACAUAAAUGUGGCUGCUUUCCUGAAGAAACAUGUACACUAUUUGGAGGUCUCAGCAGAGCUCGACUGGAUAGUAGGUGCGGCCUCUAAAAGCCAAGGUCUUCAUCACCUGCAGAAUGGUAGCCUCAGAAUAACAUUUGAGUUGUAAAUCUCUUCUGAGGGCUAAAGCGUAUUUCAUAAAAAUGAAGAUUUAUGGAGUUUCUGGAUGGUGCAGUGGGUUAAGAAUCUGACUGCAGUGGCUCAGGUCGCUGAGGAGGCUCAGGUUCAAUCCCCAGCCCAGUGCCGUGGGUUAAAGGGUCUGGUGUGGGUUGCAGCUGCCGCUCAGAUUCAAUCUCUGGUCAGGGAACUUCCAUCUGCCGUGAGUGCAGCCAUUAAAUUAAAUUUUUUUAAAAAGAUAGAGAUUUAUAGUGAUAAAAGCUAGCAGGAGAGUCUUAUGCAAACUAAAAUUUUCAGCUCUUAUAUUCAUGGAAGAACCACGUCUGUAGGCUAACAAAUUAAGAGUGAGAAUGCUAAAUCAUUACUUCCCCUUACGCUGCUUUGAAAUCUCCUAUGAGUCCCCAAAGGGAGAAAUGGUUUGUGUGCUUUACUGCUGUGUGUCUGUUCUCGAGUCUGUAUUUCUUGAUGGUAAUUUGUGUCUGCGUGUGUGAGAAUGCUUAAAAUAUGGUCUCUGCAACUUUCAAGUACGCAUAUAACACGGAUAUUGUGUUAUUAACGGUAGUCCCCAUGCUGAACGUUAGGUCCUCUGACCUUAUUCUUAUGUCUGAAAAUGUGUAUCAUUUGACCUCCAUUACUUCAUUUUCUCCUCCUCCCAGCCACUGGUAACCACCAUUCUGUUAUUCUAUUCUCUGUUUCUAUGAAAUCAGCUUUUUUAAAAGUUCCACACGUAGAUAAUAAUAUGAGAUAAUAUUUAUCUUUGUCUGGCUUAUUUCACUUAGCAUCAUGCCAUCCAGGUUCAUCACAAAUGGCAGGAUUUCCUCCCUUUUUCUGGCUGCAUAAUAUUCCAUCAUGUUCCAUUUUCUUUAUGUCUUCAUCCAUUCAUGGACAUUUAAGUUGUUCCUGAACCUUGGCUACUAGGCAUAAUGCUGCAGUGAACAUGGGAGUGUAGCUAUCUCUUCAAGAUACUGAUUUAGGUUCUUUUGGAUAUAUGCUAGAAGUGAAAUUGCUGGUAGUUCUAUUUUAAAUUUUUUGGGGGAUGGCCAUUCUGUUUUCCACAGUGGCCGCACUGAUUUACAUUCUCACCAACAGUUUAUAAGGAUUCCCUUUUCUCCACAUCCUCGCCAACAUAUUUUAUCUCUUUUCCCUUUGAUAAUAGCUUGAUGAUAAUUGUUCUCGAGUCUUGUACAGAGCUUUGUGGAACUGCAUCUCUUUCUUUCAGAUAAAUGAGUGUUUGAUCUCAGGAAAUCUUCCAUUGCCACUGGUAAAUCUGAGCUGUCUCCAUUUUAAAUUGAGUUAAAAGCAAAAGUACCGCCUACCCUCCGAAGCUUUUCUUUAAUUCCUAGUAUCAGUGUGUUUAAUUGGAAAGAGAUUUUAAAGACCAAUAGUGUAAGGCUUAAGAGAUUCUGGCACCUUUGGGGAUUGUUUUAAAAUUAUUGCAUGAAUUCUUUUUUAUUUUUUUUCCCACUGGGGGUUAGGCCUGACAGGCCACGAAUGGAUCUGUCAUUCUCCCAUAUACUCUCAGUAUUUAUUAUUAUCAUCUGCCUCAGGGGCUUGUAGAUUAAUCAAAAAUAUCCUUAAGUUAUCUUACAAGUAAAAGGAAAUUAACCAGCUUUCCCACCUCAUUUUAUGCUAAUAUAUUAAAUUAUGAGCUCUGAAGAAAUUAACAAGGACCUGAGAUCAAUGACUGUCUCUUCCUCUGAGUAAAUUAAAAUAGAAUAAGUACAAAUAUUCUGUAAUCAUCAGGUAUUAAACUCCUUUCCUCUUUUUUCCCCCUUUUAACAUAACUCAGGCUGUAAAACCUAAAUAAAAUCUUACAUCUAGUUCAAACCCCUUCCUUUGGAAAAGAAAAGCAUGAGGUCUGGUGGAAUUAAAAUCACUUUCUCUCAACGACAGAACUAGUGUGUGUGUGUGUGUGUGUGUGUGUGUGUCUACGUGUGUGUGUCUGCAUGUGUGUAAACCAUAUGUACAUACUUAUAGAAACACAUUGUGUAUAUAUGUAUGUACACACGGUGUACAUAACAUAUACACAAUGAGUGUAUGUAAACCGAGAGUAUCAUUCCUUCCUAAAUAAUCCUACAUUUAUUUGGGGUGACACAUGAUAAAAUGUAUAGUGAAAUCUGGAAGGUGAUUUCAUGACUUCCUAAAGACUAACAGGAGAAUUGUUAUAAAAUUUCUAUGAGAAAAAAAUAAUACUUUCACAUCUCUAAUGAAACACACCCUUUUAAAAAGUGAAGAGUGUUUAACAUGAAAUAGCAUCAACUCUGUGAUGCCAUUAUCCUCUCAGAACCCAUCAAGUCAUACACAAAAUCCUAAUGAAUUUAUCGACAGCUCAUCCAUCCAGAGUUCCGACUUGAGUUGAGGCAGGUGUCAAGAUGCACUUGCCAAACAGGGUGAUAACACCGCCCCCACAGUUUCAUCGCAAAGCACCAUCUGCUCCAAGCACAUGGACUGUCAAAUCCUGGCUUGUGCCCCCUGGCAUUUGGUGACGGUGGCACUGACAUGCAGUGACUUUGGAGGAUGCGUUCACAUUCUCAGUUCUUCAAACCCUGCCUAGGUCACAGCAGCAAUCUGUCAACGGAGGCGGUUGGAAGAGGCAGGAGGCAAUGUAUUCUGUUUGUCUGGUCCCCACUCUGAACAUGACUAGUUUUUAUGCCAGUCACCAUGUCUAAAAUGUCUUCAAAGAGCACCUGUGAUCAUGCUCUCUCUCAAACCCGGUCACUGAGAUGUUCUAAGUCAACGGUUUCCACGUGACACCAAGAGACACAAAGCCUUAACCGUGUUAGAGAUUUCGUGAAGCUCUGGUCAGGAAGGGAAUGGCAUUGGGGCCACCUGACCUUCACGUGAAGACACGCUAUCACAUUUCUGUAACAAAGGGUGCUGGGGGGGCUGGCGGUGAAAUGCUGUCUCAACUCAGUUUUGAGGCCCUGGCAGGAGGCCUGCCAGUUUCUCUUCGCAAGAAUUGCUCAAGUCCACACCACACACACUUCCUUUGUGGGACUCUCAUAUUUCAGGUGCUAUGCAGUCACCCUAACUGCCCAGGGGACAGGUCCCCACUAGGAUCAACUCUGUGCCCCAGGGCCCCCAAAUUUAUGCACGUUGGCCAGUUCACUGAGAGCCUGGUAAAGCCUGGCCAAGCCCGCCCCACUUGCCACACCGAGCUGCAGCUGUGGCUCCAGCCUCCUGGCACCGUGUCCCCAAGUGUGGGUCCUGUGGCAGCCUUCUCUCGUUUAGAGCUGAAAGUAACAAGAGAUCUGCCUUUCAAGGACCUGGGUAUCUUUAUGUUCUGUCCUACCAUCCCGCCAAUUACCAUCCUCCAUAAUAAAUUCUAAUUAUAAAACAAUCACGUUGAUUUGAGUGAUCGAAGUCCCAUUUCUCCAAAUGCCCUUGUUUGGAAGAAGUCUUUUUCUUUUAUCUCCUAGUUCUUUCAUUGUUUUAAGAUUUAUUGAAGUGUAGUUAAUUUACACAGUUUUGAUGAUUUCUGUUGUACAACAAAGGGACAGAGUCAUACAUAUACACAUACCAUUCUCUCUCAGCUUCUUUUCCCACAGAGAUUAUCACAGAACAGUGGGUGGUGUUCUCUGGGCUACACAGCAAGUCCUCAUUGGCCAAUGGAUCCAUGUACCUCAGUGUGCAUAUGCAGAAGUCUGUUUAAAGUCCAGAAACUUACACAUCAGUGAUCCUCAAGGAAUUCCCGCAUAAUAGGAUCGGUGGCAUCUCUGGAGCUCCAGGAAUCAGGUCUGAUCCCUGGCCCCACACUGUAGGUCAAGGGAUCCAGUGUUGCCACAGCUGCUUGGAUCUGAUCCCAAGCCCAGUAACUUCAUAUGCUGCAGGGCGGCCAAAAAUGGAAAAAAAAAAAA